UAAUUGCAAGUGCUGUAGAGCUCUAUGACGUCAUACACUCUGUGGCAGUUAUUUUCAGUCGGUAUAGUUAUGGCAGUUAGUAGAACAGUCUUAAUAGAGCAGCAGAUGUGUUGUGCUGCUGUCUGCCUCAGAGUUAGCCUAUGUAGGACGCAUUAGCAAUUUAAGAAACAUUCACCUGCAUUGUAUAUAUUUUAAUCGGCAACUGCAAAUACACUAAGAAAAUAGUGUUUGUUCUUUAAACUUUAAAAGAGAAUGUCUUGCAUAGUUUUUUAUAGGAGGGGGAAAAGAGAACUAAUUAAAGGAUCAAACGACCCAGGCCUAUCUUCUUCAUCCUCUGCAAAUGGGAAUGAGAGUCCAAUUCCCACAGUUCAGACAGUUUUGAACUAAUUCAGCAAACUCUGUGAAACUGAAUGAGUUAUCUCCUUCACCAAUAGACUUCUGACAACAGCACCUAAUAUAGUCACUAGGCUUCAGUUCAUCUUCUCAGCUAGGAAGUUGCCGCCGCCCACGACACAAGAUCAGUUUCAGAGAUGCUGUUGCCAUAACAACCAGGCUUUUUGGAUUCAUUCUCUCUCUCUCUCUCUCUCUCUCUCUCUCUCUCUCUCUCUGCUGAAUGGUUAGAAGAAAAGCAAUACCACAUCUGUAGCUGCAGUAACUCUUCCCCUACCCUCAUUUUCAGACUGAAACAGCAAAGCAGAUGCAAUUAUCUUGCAAGCUUUGAAUGAAAUGUACCAAAUAGCAGAGAGCAAGAAGCACCAUCUCAGGCUCAGGCAAUAUAGAAAUGCUUUAUUGUACAGUUUGGGAUCAACCUCACAGCUCUCUGACGGGGUGCAUUGCUAGUGGAAACUGAUAUUCUUCUGUUCAGCUACUGUGUAUCCAUCAUAUGCCACAAUUAAAAAAUAUUGCAUAUAGAUGGAACAAAUUUUCAUAGCCUCCAGUUGUCGAGCAGUGUUAAACAAAUCCCACAGAUUCAAUUGUACAGGUAUCAGAGGAAAAUAAUGUUCUAUUUUUAACACACCAGUCCCCAUUCAUUUUCCAUAAUCAGGAUUUUAGAGUACAGCUCCAGAUCCCCUUUCAGGUCUUAACCUGCUGAGCUUCUGCCUGCCCAACAGCUAUUAAGGACACCAGAACCUUUAUGAGUUAGCCUGUGAUAACCAGCAGGCCUUCGGGGGAAGAUGGGGAAAGUUCCCUACAGCUUAAAGGAGGGAAUGAAAAGCCAGGCUGGAAGGGGCACAAGUAUGUUCCUCUCAAUGGAAAAAGGACACAGUAGGUUCAAGGAUCUGAGCCAUGGCUCCGUUUCAACUUGUUUCCAGCCCUCCCAGAGAGAGGUUUGCUUCUCUACAGCACAGUGAAAACAAUGCAUCUUAAUCUUUAAGGACAUGGCUCCCCAUGAUCCCUUUGUGGGCAGGUGAGAGUGGGUGGGUAUCCCUGCUUGGUACCAGACAGUGAUACAUUAAGGUCAAAGACAGCUUUGCAGAUUGCUGGCAGGAUGGUGGCGGGGAGAGUCAUGCUCCUUCUUUGGCUCACAAGCUGUUUGUCUGCCAGGACUUCCAGAGACUUAAGAAAACUUUCCAAGAGCAGAGUUCGUCUGAGGCGUGUAUAUGCAGGGCUGGGAGAGAGAGGGAUACACAGACAAACAGACACACUCGGAAAUUUGGCCAUUCAACUCUACUCCUGGCUUAAGGCUGCCAAUGAUAUGUGUGAGAACAGAGCGCUCUCUGGUGGCUGCAAAGGGACACGUGAACCCAAACAAACAUUGGCUACGGGAUUGCAGAGUGUUGAAUGGACAUCCCAUAGAAGGCAUGGCCCUUCUACGGCUAUUGAAUAAAAAUGAUUUUUGACCAAUGCAGAGUUUACAUUGGAAGUUUGGGUGCAACUCAGCUUGCAGAAAGCCAUUCAUAUGGGGUUAAAAGAGACAGAAUAAAGGACUUCCAGAUUUGUAUACUAUGCCUGUACCUUGCACCUCUAUGGUGACCUCUCUAUCCUGUGAACCUUAGGUUGCAUCCUGUGAAUAGUGAGCUAUCCAGGUGCUCAAGAAUUGAAGGGGUGUUGGAAGAUUGGGUGCAGCUCAAUUUGCUUUUGUGUAACCUGUGUUGCAUCCAAAUUUUCAACAGAUUAUGACUUUGAUAUUAAGCCCGCUCCCCCUCUCCCAGUGCUCACCUCCUGCCUCCCAUAUUGCUUAACAUACAGCCAGAUGAAAAGUUCUAGUGAGUUCGAAACUUUACUCACUAUUCUGUGACGUUUUGGAUGCACUAAAAAUGCUGAAAGCUGUCCAGAUAAAAGUGGCACUCUAAACCUUUGCUAUGUGUUUAAACCUGCCUCUUCCUCCACUUGGCUUAUUUGGCAUGCAGUGGAUCAGAAAAUAGCACACCGGCAGAUGACAUUAUAGUCCUUCAUCUGUUCUGAAAAAAGUGGUGGCGCUUUGUUCCUGCCUGUACUGGCUUCUGCCCAACACACGCAGACAGAGGCUCUUACUUGUAAGUAAGGAAGAGAUCCUUGUUCAGGAAAGUGAAGGUACAGGCUCGGCAGCAGAUACAGUGCCGAGGAGUCAUGGAUCAAGAGUUGAGGGGCAGGGCAGACAGCUUAGAACUGGACAAAAGUUAUGAGGCUGUCCCAACAAGUUUCACCACCCCUUCGACCAGCUUUGAAAGAUGAGGUGUGGCCUUAAGAGAAUGUCUAGAUUGAAAGUGCAUGCUCCAUCUGCAAAGGCAUUCCAUUGUUCAGACUCCUGUUCAGGCUCCCCUGCUCAUAGCUGAUCAAAGCCCUCCUCAGCCUCCAAUGAGGUUCUCUGUUCCAGAGGAAGGUCAUGGGGGAGCCAGUAUCCCUGCUUCCCCUUCCAAAGUGAUAGAAGUCAGGUUGGAAAGCAGAGAGCCCCACUCCUCCAACAGGUUCCCACCACUUCCAUUUCUUCCUCCUAUCGCAUUGGAGCCUGCCAGCACAAGCUCAAUCACAUCAGGGCUCACAACACAGCCUGCCUCUGCUCCACUCCAUCCCUGCUUCCCAGAGCUCUACAGGAAACUGUUCAGGAUUAGGCUAGGGCAGGGGCAGGUGGAGACAGUAGAGCUGGGUGUCAGCGGCAGCUCCUUCAGCUCCUUUGAAUUCUUUUGCAAGCCUUACUCAUAAAGGGCUCAAGCUUCUGUGAGUGCUUAAGUCCAUUCUCCAUUUUACACAUAAAGUUAUUGCCCCAAUGGAAACCACAGCCCAAUAGUAUGUCAGUCUCUUGGUAGCUGGGGGUUCUGGUUUCUGGGAGAGGGACAGCAUUGCAAGGCAAAUGGAAUGACACUUGGCAUGAAAAUCUGCCAACAGGGAGGUCUCCUACCACCAGGAAUAAGUGCACAGCAGCUGUUUUCUAGGUCAUGCUCCCCGCAACUCAAAGAACAAAUAUGUAAUGAAAAACUACCAGCAGAGAUUUUUCCAAGGCACUAGUUCCAGGUACAUGACUUUCAGAAAGCUUUUCCUUGUUCAGGAUAUUCCUUGACUUACAAAAUCACGGAGAAGCUUUAGGACUGUAGCCAGAAGAGGAAUGAGUCAUCUGUAAUAGAAGAACUCGUCUGAUUUAUACACUAUCAGAGAUAUCCAUUAUGGCUUUGACCUUUCCUGCUGUCUUGCAAAGAACAUUAGCAUCAAUCGCAUGGCCCAGAUAAUCUGCAGUGCUGGAAGCGGUCACAUUUGUCCUUGCAAACUUUCCUUCUUUGGGCUUUCUGAGGCAGAGGUGGAGAAACUCUGGGCGGUGGGCCGAGUCAGGCCUCCCCAUUCCUGCCUUGGACUCCUCCGAGCAAAGGGCAGGCUAUAAAUCAAAGAAAUGAGGAAAUAUUUGGCUUGCUAGGACAUCUGAGCAAAGCCACACAACUUGCCCUACACCUGACGUCUGAAUGGGGUGGGCACAGGUAAGUAAAGUUGUGAUUGAACCAGGAAGACAUUUGCAGGAUGCUUUGAAGUCCUGUUGGUCGGCAGACUUGCAAGCACCAGCAAUCAGCUGAUUAUCUGAAGAGAGUCUUGCCAAGCCUAAGGCUCAACUAUUAGCUAGAUCGACUGGAGGAAGUAGCUCUGGUUGUUCACCUAUAAUUCACCUAAACAAAAUAUGUGGCUUGUGACUUGGCUCCUGGUUAAUAAGGAGUCUGCUCCUGCAUAGAUAUCUGCAAAAUUUGGGAUGGGUGGGUUAAAACCUGCAAUAAUUCCCUGGAAUACAAAAAGAGGGGCACAUUUAAUCUCCAGCAAUUAGCAGAGACCACUGAAAUGUGCUUUUAUGCAAUCAAAACAAUGCAUUGUGAUACUAAAAACAGGCUGCUUUAUUGAUAGCUAUCCUGUUUUUUUGAUGUUCUUAGAAGAUUCUUUCUGCAACAUGAUACCCAGGCCUCUUCCAUAUUUCUGUUAUCUGAAGCUCUCCCCAAUGUAGAUGGCCUAAUUUGAGAUGCAAUGCUCUCACUUCAGUAGGGACAGUUUCCAUAUGAUGGACACAUUCGUGGAAUUCCUUGCCAUAUUUCACAGGAACAAGAAGUGCAAUAACUGCUGUGACCAAACAGGCUUGUGAUGACCCCUCCAGCCUUGUACAUCUGAUGGUAUGGGAAAGGAUGGGGCAAUAAACUAUGCAAUCAAGUAGGCAAUGAAUGGAAGGUGGAUAAACUGAUUUUUGCUUUCCGCAUGCACACCCAAUUGCAAACACAUGUGCCAGCAGGCGAGCACAAAACAGGCAAGACUUCUGGCGAUUCCUACAAGCCAGGAAUUGCCUUAAGCAUGGGAAACGUUUACUUCUUGUUCUUUCCGUGUAAAUUUCCAAUCUCGUCUUGGAAUUUGCCUACCUUCUGGACUUAAGUAGCAAACUGCAUUGUCCUUCUCUAUGGAUUUUCACAGCACAAUUGGAUGGAAGAUAC
Podarcis muralis (Common wall lizard) is the source of this 4871-nucleotide non-coding RNA. NCBI's taxonomy places the organism in Eukaryota, Metazoa, Chordata, Lepidosauria, Squamata, Lacertidae. The record is from RefSeq and is a predicted model, not a curated record.